AUGCACAUAUGUACACAUGCACGUAUGCACCCCUGCAUGCACGCGUGCAUCUACUGCCUCCUGGUGGCUCUUCUCGCUCGUGGGGAGAAGGGCACCCGCACAAGCCCACCCGAGAUGGAGGUCUCAAUCUAUCUCUCCUCCCCAACGCCUCCCCGAGAGCCAAUGAAAAAAGUGCAAGGAAACUUUGCAACAGUAACAAAGUCUGAAGAUACAGUAUCCCAAGUCCAGGACUCCCUCCCCACAUCUAGGACUCCCCCCACACAUGCAAAGAAAGGGGGAGGCUUCUCUGGGCCCAGGCUUGGCCGUUAGCAUGUGGAAGGAAGCAUUCGCUUUGCUCUAUUUGAUCGCAAGUUCCAUUUCCUAAGCAACAGAUCAACCAAGACUGAAUUAUACGAGGUGUCCCACACCCAUAAUUCAUCCCUUUCGAGAAAGGUGGAGAAAAGAGAUUUUCCUGACUCCAAAUCCAGUUAUCUAGGGUUGCCUCAGUUUAAGGUGCAUGCGAUCUUGUUUGGUGCAGGCUUACCUUCCCCAAAGGGAUCUCUCCGGAAGUAUCCUUGGAAAAAAGUCCACUCCCACUGCUCAGGCAAUUUUUUUCAAGGGGAAAACCAGACCCUUUAUAGUUCCCCCCCACCACUCCCCAGAGGAUUAAGGAAGUGAGUUCUCCUUCUUGCAGAUUUGGAAAUAACCCAGAGAGGCUUUUAUUAUAAGGGGCAUUAGCCCUGGUGGGAGGACUAAAGUUGAAAUUCCCAACUUUUCUUUUUUGAGGUUUCUUUUCAAAGUAAAGCAAAUUCUAACAUUUAAGAUAGAAAAUAAUAUAUAAUAGAAAGUAAUAUAUGUGAAUAUAAGAUAUAAAAUGAUAUAUGUAAAUAUAAGAGAAAAUAACAUAUAACAAAUAAUUGUGAAUAUAAGAUAUAAAAUAAUAUUUGUAAAUAUAACAAAAUAUUAUAUAUGUAAACAUAAUAUUCACAUAAAUAUAUUAUAUAAUAUAAUUAUAAGC
Molecule: long non-coding RNA, 997 nt
Filed under: Sarcophilus harrisii (Tasmanian devil)
Lineage: Eukaryota; Metazoa; Chordata; Mammalia; Dasyuromorphia; Dasyuridae
Description: lncRNA (ENSSHAG00000023721.1)
Source: RNAcentral